CAACAGAUUUUGCUUUCUUAUCCCAUUGAUUUAAGACUUUUAUUUGGAAGAACAGAGAACAUUUUUGUAAAGCAGCCUUUAGUUCCUUCUGUAAGCAUAUAAAAUUAUUGAAUGAAUAAAAGUGAGGAGCAAAUGACUGAAUAACUCUCUCAUUUAUCUUACAGUUGCUGAGCAUUGGUUAUGGCAGCAUAAUGUUUGAACAUCAUUACCUGCCAAGUCCAUCAAAACACUGUGCUGAUUUCCUUGUUUUUGUUGGUAAAACUCAGAAGAACCAUUCAAGGCCAAUGCUAUCAGAUUGUUAACCAUGUAGAUUCUAGAAGGAGAAAGACUUGGAAACAAACAGCUUCAAUAUAACAGCAGAUGCUGUUAUAGAAUUAUAGAAGAAAAGUCAAGGUGCUGUAGAAAUCAGAGGAUAUGGUUGAUUUUAAGGCAAGUGGGAGGGAAAACUUUGGAAAGGAAGUGACCUUUCAAAUAGAUAUUGAUGAAUGAAUGUGGUUUUCAAUUGGUGGAAAAAAGGUGAGGCAGUCUGGGCUGAGAGAACAUCAAGAGAAUGGAAGCUUGAAACUAUGAUCAAAUCUGAUGAGCUUUAGGAAUAGUGAGGACACUAAGGGAGUAAAAUAUGGUGUAAUUUAGUAGGAAAUGAAGCUCUUCAGUUUUCAGGAGCAAAUCAUGGUCACGUCAGUGUGAAAUUUUAUUGGUUAGUUAAUGGGAAUCACUAAAGAUGUCUUUUAAAACUUAGAAAACAGUGACAUGAUCUAGUCUGUGUUUUCUAGAAACCAGAUAUUACUUUAUUCCUGUAGGAUUCCACUGGAGAUGUACUUUGAAGUAUUAAACAAUUUAACCCCAUCCUUAUAGGGUAGACAUUUUAAUCAGUGAAAGAAUGUGUUAGCUUUAUAUUACUGCGACAAAAUACCUGAGAAAAUCAACUUAAAGCAGGAAAGAUUUAUUUUGGCUCACAGUUUCAGAGACUUCAGUCCAUGGUAAGCUGACUCCAUUGCUUUUAGGCCUUUUGGAGAGGUAGAACAUCAUGGUAGGAGCUGUGGUGGAGCAAAACUGCUCACCUCAUCAGGGUGGCCAGGAAAUAGAGAGAGGAAAUGAGGAGGGGGCCUGAGACAAAAUAAGUCUUCAAAGGCUUCCAGUGUCCUACUUUCUCCAACUAGGCUAUAUCCCUUGAAGUUUCUACCACCUCUCAUUACCACCACCAGCUAUGGAAGAAGCAUUUAACACAUGAGCCUUUGGGGGGCAUUAUAGAUCCAAACUAUAGCCAAGAUGUGCUAUAUCUAAAAUGAAUUCAACACUAACAUUGAAAACACUAACAUUUCUAAAACAGAAAAAAAAAAAUACCCAAGGUUUAAUCCCCAGCACCAACCACCAAAGAAAUAAACAACAACAAAAAAUUGAUCAUAUCGUUCUUCACCUUAAAAAUACUUUAUAAGAAUGUACAAUAAGAUCUAGACUUUGUUUUAUUUCAUUAUAAAUGGACUUUUCUCAUUUUUGAGACAAAAAUUUACCUGUCCUACAGAGUUGUUAUGAAGUGGCUCACGUGAAACACCUCAUACAUUGUCUACAUGGAUGAUAGGCUCUCAACUCAUGAUUAUUAUCAUUUUAUUAUUUUGUCUCUGUUCUCUCUCACUAGUCCUAACUACACCCUCAAUACUAUUUUUCUGACCGAAUUUGUAGCUCUCUGUAAUUUGGUCAUCAAUUUUAAUGCCUAGUGCAUAGUAGGUAUGUAAUAAAUGUGUCUUUAAUGAAUUGAUAAAUUAUGUUAACUUUCUAAAAUCAUUUUUAAGCUCAUGUACUCCAGAUAAAUACAAAUAAUCUUUGGAAUUGCACUGUAAAUUUCACAUAAUUGGGACUUUAACAGAAUUUCAGAAGUUUUCUUUUAUUGCAAGUCCUUCCUUUUGAAAUUAUUUACUCAGCACAACUUAUGUAAGAAAUAAGGAUUCUUUAGAAUGUACCUGAAAACUACAGACAUAUUUUGAAAUUACCCAUUCCAAAUGCUUAAAUAGAUAUUGUUUAAAAUUACAGACAGCAUACCACUCAUCCCAUCAGUGAAUAAGUGAAGGAGUCCCUAACAGGAUCUGAUAGUUGACUGGAGAGGUGAUUAUGACAAUGGCUAAGGUCUCCCGGACCCUUGAACUUUUUCCCUGCUUAAAAAAGCAGUCUUGACUUUUUCUAAGUUCUAUGCGUUCAUUUUUAAACU
RNAcentral lists this long non-coding RNA (2203 nucleotides) under Marmota monax (woodchuck). The record is from RNAcentral. Lineage: Eukaryota; Metazoa; Chordata; Mammalia; Rodentia; Sciuridae.